GCCUGGGUGGCUCAGUCGGUUGAGCGUCCGACUUCGGCUCAGGUCAUGAUCUCGUGGUUCGUGGGUUCGAGCCCCACAUCGGGCU
This 85-nucleotide transfer RNA is filed under the name Felis catus (domestic cat). It matches the Rfam family "tRNA". Rfam says of the family: Transfer RNA (tRNA) molecules are approximately 80 nucleotides in length. Their secondary structure includes four short double-helical elements and three loops (D, anti-codon, and T loops). The record is from Rfam by way of RNAcentral. Lineage: Eukaryota; Metazoa; Chordata; Mammalia; Carnivora; Felidae. RNAcentral also lists the same sequence under 1 other name.